GGGUAUGGCGGGUGCCUAUACAUGCAAGUCGAGCGAACAGAUAAGGAGCUUGCUCCUUUGACGUUAGCGGCGGACGGGUGAGUAACACGUGGAUAACCUACCUAUAAGACUGGGAUAACUUCGGGAAACCGGAGCUAAUACCGGAUAACAUAUUGAACCGCAUGGUUCAAUAGUGAAAGGCGGCUUUGCUGUCACUUAUAGAUGGAUCCGCGCCGUAUUAGCUAGUUGGUAAGGUAACGGCUUACCAAGGCAACGAUACGUAGCCGACCUGAGAGGGUGAUCGGCCACACUGGAACUGAGACACGGUCCAGACUCCUACGGGAGGCAGCAGUAGGGAAUCUUCCGCAAUGGGCGAAAGCCUGACGGAGCAACGCCGCGUGAGUGAUGAAGGUCUUCGGAUCGUAAAACUCUGUUAUCAGGGAAGAACAAAUGUGUAAGUAACUGUGCACAUCUUGACGGUACCUGAUCAGAAAGCCACGGCUAACUACGUGCCAGCAGCCGCGGUAAUACGUAGGUGGCAAGCGUUAUCCGGAAUUAUUGGGCGUAAAGCGCGCGUAGGCGGUUUUUUAAGUCUGAUGUGAAAGCCCACGGCUCAACCGUGGAGGGUCAUUGGAAACUGGAAAACUUGAGUGCAGAAGAGGAAAGUGGAAUUCCAUGUGUAGCGGUGAAAUGCGCAGAGAUAUGGAGGAACACCAGUGGCGAAGGCGACUUUCUGGUCUGUAACUGACGCUGAUGUGCGAAAGCGUGGGGAUCAAACAGGAUUAGAUACCCUGGUAGUCCACGCCGUAAACGAUGAGUGCUAAGUGUUAGGGGGUUUCCGCCCCUUAGUGCUGCAGCUAACGCAUUAAGCACUCCGCCUGGGGAGUACGACCGCAAGGUUGAAACUCAAAGGAAUUGACGGGGACCCGCACAAGCGGUGGAGCAUGUGGUUUAAUUCGAAGCAACGCGAAGAACCUUACCAAAUCUUGACAUCCUUUGACCGCUCUAGAGAUAGAGUCUUCCCCUUCGGGGGACAAAGUGACAGGUGGUGCAUGGUUGUCGUCAGCUCGUGUCGUGAGAUGUUGGGUUAAGUCCCGCAACGAGCGCAACCCUUAAGCUUAGUUGCCAUCAUUAAGUUGGGCACUCUAAGUUGACUGCCGGUGACAAACCGGAGGAAGGUGGGGAUGACGUCAAAUCAUCAUGCCCCUUAUGAUUUGGGCUACACAC
This 1206-nucleotide ribosomal RNA is filed under the name Staphylococcus pasteuri. Its description in RNAcentral is "bacterial SSU rRNA". It matches the Rfam family "Bacterial small subunit ribosomal RNA", at positions 26 to 1221 of the family's 1533-position model. The record is from RNAcentral. Lineage: Bacteria; Bacillati; Bacillota; Bacilli; Caryophanales; Staphylococcaceae.